RNAcentral lists this ribosomal RNA (817 nucleotides) under Brachybacterium saurashtrense. RNAcentral describes it as "bacterial SSU rRNA". It matches the Rfam family "Bacterial small subunit ribosomal RNA", at positions 66 to 892 of the family's 1533-position model. Lineage: Bacteria; Bacillati; Actinomycetota; Actinomycetes; Micrococcales; Dermabacteraceae. The record is from RNAcentral.
ACGAUGACGGUGGUGCUUGCACCGCCUGAUUAGUGGCGAACGGGUGAGUAACACGUGAGUAACCUGCCCCUCACUUCGGGAUAACCUCGGGAAAUCGUGGCUAAUACCGGAUACGAACACUCAUCGCAUGGUGGGUGUUGGAAAGAUUUAUCGGUGGGGGAUGGACUCGCGGCCUAUCAGUUUGUUGGUGAGGUAAUGGCUCACCAAGGCGAUGACGGGUAGCCGGCCUGAGAGGGCGACCGGUCACACUGGGACUGAGACACGGCCCAGACUCCUACGGGAGGCAGCAGUGGGGAAUAUUGCACAAUGGGCGAAAGCCUGAUGCAGCGACGCCGCGUGAGGGAUGACGGCCUUCGGGUUGUAAACCUCUUUCAGUAGGGAAGAAGCGAGAGUGACGGUACCUGCAGAAGAAGCGCCGGCUAACUACGUGCCAGCAGCCGCGGUAAUACGUAGGGCGCAAGCGUUGUCCGGAAUUAUUGGGCGUAAAGAGCUUGUAGGUGGCUUGUCGCGUCUGCCGUGAAAACCCGAGGCUCAACCUCGGGCGUGCGGUGGGUACGGGCAGGCUAGAGUGUGGUAGGGGAGACUGGAACUCCUGGUGUAGCGGUGAAAUGCGCAGAUAUCAGGAAGAACACCGAUGGCGAAGGCAGGUCUCUGGGCCAUUACUGACACUGAGAAGCGAAAGCAUGGGUAGCGAACAGGAUUAGAUACCCUGGUAGUCCAUGCCGUAAACGUUGGGCACUAGGUGUGGGGGACAUUCCACGUUUUCCGCGCCGUAGCUAACGCAUUAAGUGCCCCGCCUGGGGAGUACGGCCGCAAG